RNAcentral lists this ribosomal RNA (750 nucleotides) under uncultured Dechloromonas sp. RNAcentral's name for it is "bacterial SSU rRNA". It matches the Rfam family "Bacterial small subunit ribosomal RNA", at positions 28 to 773 of the family's 1533-position model. Lineage: Bacteria; Pseudomonadati; Pseudomonadota; Betaproteobacteria; Rhodocyclales; Azonexaceae. The record is from RNAcentral.
AUUGAACGCUGGCGGCAUGCCUUACACAUGCAAGUCGAACGGCAGCACGGACUUCGGUCUGGUGGCGAGUGGCGAACGGGUGAGUAAUGUAUCGGAACGUACCUUUCAGUGGGGGAUAACGUAGCGAAAGUUACGUUAAUACCGCAUAUUCUGUGAGCAGGAAAGCAGGGGAUCGCAAGACCUUGCGCUGAUUGAGCGGCCGAUAUCAGAUUAGCUAGUUGGUGGGGUAAAGGCCUACCAAGGCUACGAUCUGUAGCGGGUCUGAGAGGAUGAUCCGCCACACUGGAACUGAGACACGGUCCAGACUCCUACGGGAGGCAGCAGUGGGGAAUUUUGGACAAUGGGGGCAACCCUGGACCAGCCAUGCCGCGUGAGUGAAGAAGGCCUUCGGGUUGUAAAGCCCUUUCGGCCGGGAAGAAAUCGCAUAGGUUAAUACCCUGUGUGGAUGACGGUACCGGAAUAAGAAGCACCGGCUAACUACGUGCCAGCAGCCGCGGUAAUACGUAGGGUGCGAGCGUUAAUCGGAAUUACUGGGCGUAAAGCGUGCGCAGGCGGUUUCGUAAGACAGAGGUGAAAUCCCCGGGCUCAACCUGGGAACUGCCUUUGUGACUGCGAGGCUAGAGUACGGCAGAGGGGGGUGGAAUUCCACGUGUAGCAGUGAAAUGCGUAGUGAUGUGGAGGAACACCGAUGGCGAAGGCAGCCCCCUGGGCCGAUACUGACGCUCAUGCACGAAAGCGUGGGUAGCAAAC